UAUCAGAGCCUCGGUGGCUCGUUUCAGUUUUCGGUCCGGUCGGGUCUUUACCGGAAAACCGCUGGAGACGUAAAACAUUUGUAGAUCUAUGUGUGUUCAGUUAUUUUCGAUCUGGCGGGUUUGUUUAGCUGUGAAUUUAUUGUUCCCAGCGUGUUUGUUCUUUAAGAAUGGUGAAGAGACAAGCUGGUGUGGUUGAAAAUCUGGGUUAUUCACAGCAGCGAAUUUAUGCGGUUUAUGGUGAAUGCACAUGGUGUUUACGGUUAUAGAUAUCAGCGACCGAACCAGGGUUUGCAAAGAAGAAGACAUCGGGUUUGGGUUUAUAAACUUUGGCGACCAGAAGAGGUGGUCUUUAUCGGCCGAUGACGGUUGUGUCUGCCGUGUUUCCUUUUUAACUGGAAUUGGUAAACGGCCGGUCGUUAUUUUUCCGAUCAAGAGUGGUUGACGGUUUGGGUGAUGGCAGAAAAUGGUCUAUGGUAGGGAUUGGUGGGAUGAUGGUUCACGGCGGCGCAUUU
Molecule: long non-coding RNA, 512 nt
Filed under: Helianthus annuus (common sunflower)
Lineage: Eukaryota; Viridiplantae; Streptophyta; Magnoliopsida; Asterales; Asteraceae
Source: RNAcentral